GCCCUGCUCUUGGGGGAGUAGUCUUCCGCAUCCGAUAAAUUCGGAUCGGAGUUACCGUCAACAUAAUUGAGCCUCAAUGCUCAUGGCGGUGACGUCCACGCAAACGUGGAU
This 111-nucleotide small RNA is filed under the name Marinobacterium sp. Its description in RNAcentral is "Manganese sequence". The stretch from base 13 to 111 matches the Rfam family "Manganese Mn2+ riboswitch aptamer (yybP-ykoY)". From Rfam's summary of the family: This RNA was originally discovered in E. coli during a large scale screen and was named SraF. The family was later found to exist upstream of related families of protein genes in many bacteria, including the the yybP and ykoK genes in B. subtilis. Lineage: Bacteria; Pseudomonadati; Pseudomonadota; Gammaproteobacteria; Oceanospirillales; Oceanospirillaceae. The record is from RNAcentral.